UGAAGAGUUUGAUCCUGGCUCAGAUUGAACGCUGGCGGCAUGCCUUACACAUGCAAGUCGAACGGCAGCACGGGUGCUUGCACCUGGUGGCGAGUGGCGAACGGGUGAGUAAUACAUCGGAACAUGUCCUGUAGUGGGGGAUAGCCCGGCGAAAGCCGGAUUAAUACCGCAUACGAUCUACGGAUGAAAGCGGGGGACCUUCGGGCCUCGCGCUAUAGGGUUGGCCGAUGGCUGAUUAGCUAGUUGGUGGGGUAAAGGCCUACCAAGGCGACGAUCAGUAGCUGGUCUGAGAGGACGACCAGCCACACUGGGACUGAGACACGGCCCAGACUCCUACGGGAGGCAGCAGUGGGGAAUUUUGGACAAUGGGCGAAAGCCUGAUCCAGCAAUGCCGCGUGUGUGAAGAAGGCCUUCGGGUUGUAAAGCACUUUUGUCCGGAAAGAAAUC
RNAcentral lists this ribosomal RNA (447 nucleotides) under Burkholderia territorii. RNAcentral describes it as "bacterial SSU rRNA". It matches the Rfam family "Bacterial small subunit ribosomal RNA", at positions 1 to 452 of the family's 1533-position model. The record is from RNAcentral. Lineage: Bacteria; Pseudomonadati; Pseudomonadota; Betaproteobacteria; Burkholderiales; Burkholderiaceae.